RNAcentral lists this transfer RNA (74 nucleotides) under Mus musculus (house mouse). Its description in RNAcentral is "tRNA-Ala". The record is from RNAcentral. Lineage: Eukaryota; Metazoa; Chordata; Mammalia; Rodentia; Muridae.
UUGGGGGUUUAGCUCAGUGGUAGAGCGCUUGCCUAGCAAGUGCAAGGCCCUGGGUUCAGUUCUCAGCUCUGGAA